UACGAAGUGUGCAAGCGUUAAUCGGAAUUACUGGGCGUAAAGCGCGCGUAGGUGGUUCAGUAAGUUGGAUGUGAAAUCCCCGGGCUCAACCUGGGAACUGCAUCCAAAACUGCUGAGCUAGAGUACGGUAGAGGGUGGUGGAAUUUCCUGUGUAGCGGUGAAAUGCGUAGAUAUAGGAAGGAACACCAGUGGCGAAGGCGACCACCUGGACUGAUACUGACACUGAGGUGCGAAAGCGUGGGGAGCAAACAGG
This 253-nucleotide ribosomal RNA is filed under the name uncultured bacterium. RNAcentral's name for it is "partial 16S ribosomal RNA". It matches the Rfam family "Bacterial small subunit ribosomal RNA", at positions 524 to 776 of the family's 1533-position model. The record is from RNAcentral.